Mytilus trossulus (common blue mussel) is the source of this 178-nucleotide long non-coding RNA. RefSeq lists it as uncharacterized. Lineage: Eukaryota; Metazoa; Mollusca; Bivalvia; Mytilida; Mytilidae. The transcript has 3 exons. The record is from RefSeq and is a predicted model, not a curated record.
AAAGAAGACAUUACUGAUAGUCCAAGUGAAGAUAACGGAUCCAGUACAAAGAAGCUUUCUAAAAGGCUUGGUUGUUUGUCAGUAGGAUCUAGUGCGCCUGGAAAUGACAAUGUUGACUUCAUAGAUUUUGGAAAUGGAAAGAAGAAUCCAGAUAACCCAGAUGUACCAACAUGUAAUU